AAUAGAUACCCAGGUAGUCCACGCCGUAAACGGUGGGCACUAGGUGUGGGCGACAUUCCACGUCGUCCGUGCCGCAGCUAACGCAUUAAGUGCCCCGCCUGGGGAGUACGGCCGCAAGGCUAAAACUCAAAGGAAUCGACGGGGGCCCGCACAAGCGGCGGAGCAUGUGGCUUAAUUCGACGCAACGCGAAGAACCUUACCAAGGCUUGACAUACACCGGAAACGUCCAGAGAUGGGCGCCCCCUUGUGGUCGGUGUACAGGUGGUGCAUGGCUGUCGUCAGCUCGUGUCGUGAGAUGUUGGGUUAAGUCCCGCAACGAGCGCAACCCUUGUCCCGUGUUGCCAGCAGGCCCUUGUGGUGCUGGGGACUCACGGGAGACCGCCGGGGUCAACUCGGAGGAAGGUGGGGACGACGUCAAGUCAUCAUGCCCCUUAUGUCUUGGGCUGCACACGUGCUACAAUGGCCGGUACAAUGAGCUGCGAUACCGCGAGGUGGAGCGAAUCUCAAAAAGCCGGUCUCAGUUCGGAUUGGGGU
Molecule: ribosomal RNA, 534 nt
Filed under: uncultured bacterium
Lineage: Bacteria
Description: bacterial SSU rRNA
Rfam family: Bacterial small subunit ribosomal RNA
Source: RNAcentral